Molecule: ribosomal RNA, 292 nt
Filed under: uncultured bacterium
Lineage: Bacteria
Description: partial 16S ribosomal RNA
Rfam family: Bacterial small subunit ribosomal RNA
Source: RNAcentral
GUGCCAGCAGCCGCGGUAAUACGUAGGUGGCAAGCGUUGUCCGGAUUUACUGGGCGUAAAGAGCGCGCAGGCGGUCGUGCAAGUCGAGUGUGAAAGCCCCCGGCUCAACUGGGGAGGGUCACUCGAAACUGCGCGACUCGAAGGCGGGAGAGGGAAGUGGAAUUCCCGGUGUAGUGGUGAAAUGCGUAGAUAUCGGGAGGAACACCAGUGGCGAAGGCGACUUCCUGGCCCGUUCUUGACGCUGAGGCGCGAAAGCUAGGGGAGCAAACGGGAUUAGAUACCCCGGUAGUCC